Molecule: transfer-messenger RNA, 309 nt
Filed under: Parvularcula sp.
Lineage: Bacteria; Pseudomonadati; Pseudomonadota; Alphaproteobacteria; Parvularculales; Parvularculaceae
Rfam family: Alphaproteobacteria transfer-messenger RNA
About the family: Bacterial tmRNA, also known as 10Sa RNA or SsrA, is named for its dual tRNA and mRNA-like properties.
Source: RNAcentral
GCCGGCUUGCCGGCUAUGGCGAUAAACGGCCCGUGCAAUAAGCGGUUCGGACCCGGGGGCGGUACCCGGCGGCUCCACCAGAGGUCCUUGAGGAAGGGCUUGCGGCGGGGCCGAAAUAGGCUCGACGGACGUGUAAAGACGACGCUUUCACCCGGAUGGUCUCCGUUAUUGGACCAAAAACGAUAGUUGCCAACGACAACUACUCGGACGAGUUCGCUCUUGCUGCGUAAGCGGCUGAGUUAACUCACGCCUUCAAGUCCUGAUCCCUAUCCAGGGUCAGGCGGGGCCCCCCGGCGCCUGGCAACAGAA